AUGAAUGCUGGCGGCGUGUCUAAGGCAUGCAAGUCGAACGCGUUUAUUUUUGUAGCAAUACUUGAAUGAACGAGUGGCAAACGGGUGCGUAACACAUUGGUAACCUGCCUCGAAGUCGGGCACAACCAGCCGAAAGGCUGGCUAAUUCCACGAUGGUCAUAAGAGGACUUAUGUCUUCUUGUGUAAAGUCGCAAGACGCUUCGAGAGGGACCUAUGGCCUAUCAGCUAGUUGGUGAGGUAAUGGCUCACCAAGGCGAUGACGGGUAGGGGAUGUGAGAGCAUGAUCCCCCUCACUGGGACUGAGACACUGCCCAGACACCUACGGGUGGCUGCAGUCGAGAAUAUUCCCCAAUGGGCGAAAGCCUGAGGGAGCGACGCCGCGUGCGGGAUGAAGGGCUUCGGCUCGUAAACCGCUUUUACCGAGGAAGAACAUUGACGGUACUCGGAGAAUAAGAGGUUGCUAACUCUGU
This 470-nucleotide ribosomal RNA is filed under the name uncultured bacterium. RNAcentral describes it as "bacterial SSU rRNA". It matches the Rfam family "Bacterial small subunit ribosomal RNA", at positions 29 to 506 of the family's 1533-position model. The record is from RNAcentral.